Molecule: ribosomal RNA, 475 nt
Filed under: uncultured Anoxybacillus sp.
Lineage: Bacteria; Bacillati; Bacillota; Bacilli; Caryophanales; Anoxybacillaceae
Description: bacterial SSU rRNA
Rfam family: Bacterial small subunit ribosomal RNA
Source: RNAcentral
AAAGGAAUUGACGGGGCCCGCACAAGCAGUGGAGUAUGUGGUUUAAUUCGAAGCAACGCGAAGAACCUUACCAGGGCUUGACAUCCCUUGAAGCAGCUAGAGAUAGCUGUGUCCUUCGGGACAAGGUGACAGGUGGUGCAUGGUUGUCGUCAGCUCGUGUCGUGAGAUGUUGGGUUAAGUCCCGCAACGAGCGCAACCCUCGACCUUAGUUGCCAGCAUUCAGUUGGGCACUCUAAGGUGACUGCCGGCUAAAAGUCGGAGGAAGGUGGGGAUGACGUCAAAUCAUCAUGCCCCUUAUGACCUGGGCUACACACGUGCUACAAUGGGCGGUACAAAGGGUCGCGAACCCGCGAGGGGGAGCCAAUCCCAAAAAGCCGCUCUCAGUUCGGAUUGCAGGCUGCAACUCGCCUGCAUGAAGCCGGAACCGCUAGUAAUCGCGGAUCAGCAUGCCGCGGUGAAUACGUUCCCGGGCCUU